RNAcentral lists this ribosomal RNA (245 nucleotides) under uncultured Bacillota bacterium. RNAcentral's name for it is "uncultured Firmicutes bacterium partial 16S ribosomal RNA". It matches the Rfam family "Bacterial small subunit ribosomal RNA", at positions 524 to 768 of the family's 1533-position model. Lineage: Bacteria; Bacillati; Bacillota. The record is from RNAcentral.
GACGGAGGAGGCAAGCGUUGUCCGGAAUCAUUGGGCGUAAAGAGCGCGUAGGCUGUUUUUCAAGUCAUGUGUGAAAACUUCAGGCUUAACUUGAGGAUUGCAUAUGAAACUGGAAAACUUGAGUGCAGUAGAGGAAAGUGGAAUUCCUGGUGUAGCGGUGAAAUGCGCAGAUAUCAGGAAGAACACCAGUGGCGAAGGCGGCUUUCUGGGCUGCUACUGACGCUGAGGCGCGAAAGCUAGGGGAG